RNAcentral lists this ribosomal RNA (1319 nucleotides) under metagenome. RNAcentral describes it as "bacterial LSU rRNA". It matches the Rfam family "Bacterial large subunit ribosomal RNA", at positions 1561 to 2925 of the family's 2925-position model. The record is from RNAcentral.
AGUGGAUGGGGAGCAACCUAGUUGUGCGUGUGUAAAGGUAGUGCCAAGAAAAGCGAUGAUCAUGUUGAAAAUCAAUUCCCGGUACCCGAAACCGUCACAGGUGGGCAAGUAGAGAAUACUAAGGGGCGCGAGGUAACUCUCUCCAAGGAACUCGGCAAAAUGACCCCGUAACUUAGGGAGAAGGGGUGCCACCGAGAGGUGGUCGCAGUGAAGAGGCCCAGGCGACUGUUUAGCAAAAACAUAGGUCUCUGCAAACUCGAAAGAGGAGGUAUAGGGGCUGACGCCUGCCCAGUGCCGGAAGGUUAAAGAAGUUGGUCAGUUUUAGGAUGAAGCUAGCGACUGAAGCCCCGGUGAACGGCGGCCGUAACUAUAACGGUCCUAAGGUAGCGAAAUUCCUUGUCGGGUAAGUUCCGACCCGCACGAAAGGCGUAACGAUCUGGGCGCUGUCUCGGAGAGAGGCUCGGCGAAAUAGGAUUGUCUGUGAAGAUACGGACUACCUGCAUUUGGACAGAAAGACCCUAUGAAGCUUUACUAUAGCUUGGAAUUGUGUUCGGGCUUCCUGUGCGCAGGAUAGGUGGGAGGCGUAGAAGGUAUUCUUGUGGGGAUACUGGAGCCAACGGUGAGAUACCACUCUCAGGAGGCUAGAAUUCUAACUUAAUUAAGGACAGUUUCAGGUGGGUAGUUUGACUGGGGCGGUCGCCUCCAAAAAGGCAACGGAGGCGUACAAAGGUUCCCUCAGACUGGUUGGAAAUCAGUCGAAGAGUGCAAAGGCAGAAGGGAGCUUGACUGCGAGAAGUACAGUUCGAGCAGGGUGGAAACACGGUCUUAGUGAUCCGACGGUGCUGUGUGGAAGGGCCGUCGCUCAACGGAUAAAAGUUACUCUAGGAUAACAGGCUGAUCUCCCCCUAGAGUUCACAUCGACGGGGAGGUUUGGCACCUCGAUGUCGGCUCAUCGCAACCUGGGGCGGAAGUACGUCCCAAGGGUUGGGCUGUUCGCCCAUUAAAGCGGUACGUGAGCUGGGUUCAGAACGUCGUGAGACAGUUCGGUCCAUAUCCGAUGUAGGCGUGAGAAUAUUGAGAGGAGCCUUCCUUAGUACGAGAGGACCGGGAAGGACGCACCCCUGGUGUACCUGUUAUGAUGCCAAUUGUAAACGCAGGGUAGCCAAGUGCGGAGAGGAUAACCGCUGAAAGCAUCUAAGUGGGAAGCCCACCUCAAGAUGAGUAUUCUGGUGUAAGGUCACGGGAAGACGACCCGUAAAUAGGCACGAGGUGGAAGUGCAGAGAUGUAUGAAGCCGAAGUGUACUAAUAGACCGUCGGC